GCAAAGCAGGUCUAUUUCGUUAUGUUAAAGCGAUCGUAUAAAAGGAUUUGGCCUACGAAGUACAGGUAGAUAUAAGGCAGUUUGUUCUUACGCAAGCGUCAAGUUAUAAAAAAUCAAGAAGGACGAACUCACCUUGAAAUUUGAAGAUUCGCCAAGUUGUAAGUAUUGUGUUAACACUGUGCAUGUCAAACAAAUCUAGCUAUUGCUAUGCAUGUUCAAGUUUAUAAUUUUAUAUGGGUAAAAUAAAGAAUUACCCCAGUACAUAUCUGAGGUGUUUUCAUAUUAGUCACAGAGCGAAAUUGUCGCAGCUGAAAUCAUAAUUACUACUGCUCUUCGAUCUCCAAUGUCAAGUACUGUAGCUCUAAUUCGUGCAAGUAGCCUAUGUUUGCUAAAACCAACAUAUUUUUCUAGAUUUAUCGAAAAUAAUGAAAAUUAUCUGUUUGAUUUUCCUGAUUGGAAUAUUCGCUAUUGAAUGCGAAGGAUGGGGAGGACGUUUCAGUUUGCCACGAUUGCCCAGGUACCGGUGGCCAAGAAUCUCUCUGCCUAGGGUGCGCGUACCAAGGAUUUCUUGGCCCAGGUUCCACUCUCGCAGGACGUCAUCAUUCAUUCAAACAUAUAUAUACGACAAGGCAUUCAAAGAAGUCUAUAAGCAGAAAUGCCGUAGUGACAACGAGGCCAUAAACUGUGGUUACAAAUUACAUAACAGAGUUAAACAAAUCUGCAGGCAAUCGUGCCUCAAACACUUCAACUUUGGCAAAAGAUCUAUUGACUAUUCACAAAAUUUCAAUAAAC
Non-coding RNA from Paramuricea clavata, 792 nucleotides. The record is from the annotation of a GenBank genome assembly. NCBI's taxonomy places the organism in Eukaryota, Metazoa, Cnidaria, Anthozoa, Malacalcyonacea, Plexauridae.